AAAUCCAUUUAUUUCGAACACACGAAUGACGCAAGAAACAAAUAAAUAAAUAUGGCACAAAACAAACAAUACAGUGAACGCGUCACUCGUGCGUGAAAGGGACAGCGCUCAGCAUAAAUGCUGUGUCUCGCGCACGCAGGCACGAGACAACAGCGCUGGUUUUCAGCGCUGACCCACCUCGCGUCCUAGCCGGAACUACAAAACUUUAACGCUGUUUCGGCAUAAAUACAGUAAAUAAAUAAAUACAUAUAUAUAUAAGUAAUGUAAAUUUAAACAGUUACAAGAACGAUGUAAACUAAACAGAAGAACACAAACUAAAAACAAAAUAUAACACAAUAUGAGAAUAUCAGACAUAGGACAUAGACAAAAAAAGAGCGAAAAAUUAAAAUAGUCGACCAAUGAGCGUCUCGAACCAUAGACAGCGCGGUAAGUGUCAUGUGUCAAAGAUCAGGUUAACCCGGCCAAUUACAUGUGAGAUAUGUUAUUAUGCAAUAUUAUGUGUAUCAAGUGAUGUAAAUAGUGUAAUAUGUGUUAUUGUGUUGUAUAAUUGUGAGUGGAUAUGAAUAUACUAUUAGUGUGGUGUGGGACGACCAAAUUAUAGGAAUCCGGUAGCAUAGAGGAUGACCAUGCGGAGCAGUGUGUGUAAUGCGUUUCAAGGACAAUCCGAGGUCCAGAAAUGACAAUGCUUCGUAUGUAUAUGAAGUGAAGCAGACAGGAGGCAGCAAAACCGCACCACUACAUUGCCGGGGAUCCCAGCAAGGGCUUUGGGCCAUAGCUCUGAGGCCCCUUAAAGGUGGUGGGAGGUCGUUCCAGCAGUGUGUGGCUGCAAAUUUGAAGCUGCCCCUGAAAGCUGCAGUUUUGUGAGAAGGAACCUUCAGCGGAGCAACUAUGGAGCGAAGACCAUGU
Helicoverpa zea (corn earworm) is the source of this 906-nucleotide long non-coding RNA. RefSeq lists it as uncharacterized. The transcript is spliced from 3 exons. NCBI's taxonomy places the organism in Eukaryota, Metazoa, Arthropoda, Insecta, Lepidoptera, Noctuidae. The record is from RefSeq and is a predicted model, not a curated record.